This 345-nucleotide unclassified non-coding RNA is filed under the name soil metagenome. RNAcentral's name for it is "partial contains 5.8S ribosomal RNA, internal transcribed spacer 2, and large subunit ribosomal RNA". The stretch from base 1 to 120 matches the Rfam family "5.8S ribosomal RNA", at positions 35 to 154 of the family's 154-position model. The record is from RNAcentral.
GAUGAAGAACGCAGCGAAAUGCGAUAAGUAAUGUGAAUUGCAGAAUUCAGUGAAUCAUCGAAUCUUUGAACGCACAUUGCGCUCCCUGGUAUUCCGGGGAGCAUGCCUGUUCGAGCGUCAUUACAACCCUCAAGCACGGCUUGUGUGUUGGGCCUCCGUCCUCCUCCCGGGGGACGGGCCCGAAAGGCAGCGGCGGCACCGCGUCCGGUCCUCGAGCGUAUGGGGCUUCGUCACCCGCUCUUGUAGGCCCGGCCGGCGCUUGCCGACACAUCAAUCUUUUUUCCAGGUUGACCUCGGAUCAGGUAGGGAUACCCGCUGAACUUAAGCAUAUCAAUAAGCGGAGGA